UACAGAGACCUCAAGCGUUAUCCGGAUUCAUUGGGCGUAAAGAGCAUGUAGGCGGAUAUGCUAGUCAGAUGUCAAAUCUUCGAGCUUAACUCGGAAACUGCAUUUGAAACGGCAUAUCUGGAGUCAGUGAGAGACCAGUGGAACAUAUGGUGUAGCAGUGAAAUGCGUUGAUAUCAUAUGGAACACCAAAGGCGAAGGCAUCUGGUUGGCACUGUACUGACGCUGAGAUGCGAAAGCGUGGGUAGCGAAUGGG
RNAcentral lists this ribosomal RNA (253 nucleotides) under uncultured bacterium. RNAcentral describes it as "partial 16S ribosomal RNA". It matches the Rfam family "Bacterial small subunit ribosomal RNA", at positions 524 to 776 of the family's 1533-position model. The record is from RNAcentral.